Molecule: ribosomal RNA, 465 nt
Filed under: uncultured bacterium
Lineage: Bacteria
Description: partial 16S ribosomal RNA
Rfam family: Bacterial small subunit ribosomal RNA
Source: RNAcentral
CUACGGGACGCAGCAGUGGGGAAUAUUGGACAAUGGGGGAAACCCUGAUCCAGCAAUGCCGCGUGUGUGAAGAAGGCCUGCGGGUUGUAAAGCACUUUCGGUUGGGAGGACUGCUUCUAGCACUAAUAUUGUUGGAAGUUGACGUUACCUUCAGAAGAAGCACCGGCUAACUCCGUGCCAGCAGCCGCGGUAAUACGGAGGGUGCAUGCGUUAAUCGGAAUUACUGGGCGUAAAGCGCGCGUAGGCGGCUAGAUCAGUCGGGUGUGAAAGCCCCGGGCGUAACCUGGGAACUGCAUCCGAUACUGUCUAGCUUGAGUACAGGAGAGGAGAGUGGAAUUCCACAUGUAGCGGUGAAAUGCGUAGAUAUGUGGAGGAACACCAAUGGCGAAGGCAGCUCUCUGGCCUGAUACUGACGCUGAGGUGCGAAAGCGUGGGGAGCAAACAGGAUUAGAUACCCUCGUAGUC